RNAcentral lists this long non-coding RNA (35065 nucleotides) under Manihot esculenta (cassava). Its description in RNAcentral is "long non-coding RNA (MESC_LNC006399)". The record is from RNAcentral. Lineage: Eukaryota; Viridiplantae; Streptophyta; Magnoliopsida; Malpighiales; Euphorbiaceae.
AAUAGUUGUUAAACUGUUAUUAUUAAUUUAUAAUUAUUUUUAAAUAUAUAAAACAAUAAUUUAUAAUUAUUGUAUUAAAUUUAUUUUUCUAAUAGUAAUUAUAAUAAACUAAUAACAUUCAUGUGUUGGAAUCAUACUCUAAUUUUGGGAAGAAAAAAAAACUCAAUUGCUAAAAGUUAAAUUUUGUAAGAAUUAUUGAUGAAGUUAUUUUAUUCCAUUUAUUAGCAGAUCAGUACUCUUUUGUUUCCCUUUUUCUAAUUACUUUUCUCGGUAAAGCAGGUUGUUGAAGUUCUAGCAGGAAACAUUCCUCGGAAAAAUCUCAAGAAUUGAGAUGAAAUGUUUGAAAAAGAAAAUUAUUUUUUUCCUUUUCAAUAGAAGUUGGAAACUUCCUUGAAAGGCCGAUUGGACAUUGAAAUAAAAGAUAGACCUCAGUUGAAAUGGCAAAGGAGUGUAACUGGAAGACUUUCUGAAUUUUGCUUGUAUUGAUGUGUCUUGGAGACUAUUGCAAUUUAAAAAAAAAAAAAAAAGUUCCGUUUGAAAUAAAUCGAAUGUAAAAAAGUGAUUUAGCUUAGAGUAAUUUUUUUAAUUAACUCUUUUUAGUUAAUAAAAUUAAAAUUUUAGUUAUUAUGUUUCUAAAUAUACAAAUUAAAUUAAAUUCUUCUAAAUUUUUAGUUUUCAAACAGGAAAAUAAAAGGUUUUGGAAGGUUUGAAUCCAAAUAAGAACCUUGAGAGAAUUAUAUCACCACCGCCAAAUUGCUGGACUAUCUACAGUAGCAUUUCUUUUUCAAAACAAUUGAAAAUGAGGUUACUUCUUAUUAUUAAUUUAAUUCCAAUAACUUAUCAUAUUUGUCGUUAUUAUCCAUAUUAAACAAUGACCAAGAUUUUAAAAUGACUCUCUCUAAUUUAAUUCUAAUAUUAAAAAUGACCAAAUUUAUUAUCUAUAUUAAACAAUGACCCUAAGAUCAAACUAACAACUUUGUAGUUUCUUCAUUUAUUAAUAUGCAAGUGGGACAUAAAAAAAUCAUUAGUUAAUUAAUUUAGUACGUCCUAUUUUAUAAUACACUGACCAAUCUGAAAGCUGAUUGGCCCCCACAAAUGGAUUAAUUAAUAAUUCAACCUUCUUAAUUAAUGCCGCCUUCACUGACAGCCUGGGUACUGUUCAGAAACUAACAAUAUAGUAAUCUUAGAUUGCACCGACUCUGCAUAAUUUGUAUUUUUUUAAUACUCCCUACUUUGAAACUUUAAUUUUCGCUAUCAGUCCUCAUUCAAUCUAUUCGAUUUUAAAAAUUAAAUCCAUCGAAAAUUAAAAUUUAAAUAUUUUUAAAAAUUUUAUUUUAAAAAAAAAAUAUAUUUUUCAAAGUUAAAUUAAAUUAAUUUUAAUUAAAAAUUAAAUUAAAUUGAAUUCAUUUAAUUUAAUUUUAUUCAAUUCAAUUUCAUCAGUUAAAUUUUUAAUAAUUUUUAUUUUUUAUAUUUUAAAAUUUAAUUAAAUUAUUUUUAUUUUAAUAUAAUUUAAUAUAUUUAUAUUAUUAAAAAUAAUAUAUUAUUAUCCUUAAUCGGUUCAGUUUAAUUUUUUUUUAUUUUUUUUAUUAAAAUUAAACUGAAUUGAAAUAAUUAAAAUUUUUAAAAUUAAAAAUUAAAUCAAAUCAAAAUAAAUAAAAAAUUAAAUUAAUUAAUUUUUUCCAUUUAAGCUGCAUGCGAAUCACUAUCAUCUUUGCCAUGCUGUCAAAAUUAGAUAACAUAUGUUUUUAUUAAAAAAAUAUUAUGCCCAUGUAAAACAUAUAGGUUAAAUAUAUAUUUAUAUAUUUAUAUUUUAAUAUUAUAUACAAAACGAUACAAGAAUAUAUAUAUAUAUAUAUGACUGACUCUCUCUCUCCUUGGCUUUUCAUUUCCUACCUUGACUGACUCUCUCUCUCUCUCUCUCAUCGUAACCUUGUGGGCAGCCAUGGCUGGGUCUUACUUUCGCUGGUUCAAGAAUAACGAAGGAAACGCCAAUGACCAAAACAGAGGAGGUAUAUCUUUGCUUAUACUGUAAGAUAAAUCCAACUCUGUUGGAAUUUCUUACCUUCUAAUAUCUAUAUUAAUAUAUAAAAAUCCAAAUCACUGUAUCAUGAUCAUAUAUGAUUAGAUUUGUUUGUUAUGUUAUAGACCUAUUUUUCUUAUUUGAUUUAUCAAUUUUUGUUUUUCAGAUAUUAAUUAUUGACAAUAAAACUUAUAUUUAAAAAUAAAAAAAGAAAGCCCUUCUCAUUUGAUUCUCUUUUGUUUUCAAUUAUUAAAAACAGAGGAAAAUGCAAUUCCAGAACCAAGCAGAGGAGGUAUGUUACAAGUGAAUUGCUAAACAUCCUAUUUGAAAUUUCGAUUAUGUGUGAAAUUUAUAUUUGCCGUACUACAUCUUUUAGUUUCGUAAGGAAUUAUUGACUUAAAAGUAGACCUAGCUAGAUCUAUGGAACGGAAUAAAUGGAAAAUUGAAAUAUGAGUAUUUUAAUAAUCAAACCGAAUUGAUUUUAAUCAAAAAUUAAAUCAAAUCGAAUCGAUUUGAUUCAAUUUAAUUUAAUGAGUUUUAGUUUUUAAUAAAUUUUUUUAUUUUUUACGCCGUUUUUUAAUAUUUUAAAAUUUAAUUGAAAUAUUUUAAUCUAUAAUCUAAUCUCUUUAUAUUAUUAAAAAUAAUAUAUUAUUACCAUCAAUCAGUUCAGUUUGAUUAUUUUAAUUUUUUUUUUAUCAAAAUCAAACCGAAUUGAAAUAACUAAAAUUUUUAAAAUUAAAAUUCGAAUUGAAAUAAAUAAAAAAUUUAACUUAAUUUUUAAAUUAAUUCAGUUCGGUUAAUUUUUUCGAUUUGAAUUCAAUACUGCUCACUCUUAACCAGAUUUAUUCAAGCCGUGAAUUGAAUUGAAAUGAUCAAUUAAAUUCUAAGGUGACUCCCCCUUAUGAAUGAGAAAAAAUGGGAUUUUUAUAAUGUUUUGAUGUUUAACCUAGGGUUUUAGAGUCAAAAUAAGAGGAAAAUUAUAUUCUUAUAGUGUCUCACGACUAGGCCGUGCCUGAGGAGACUUUGUCUCGGCCCAGUUGAUCAAGUAUAAUUUAGCGACAUUUUUCUUAUUAUUAUUACUAUUUAAAUAUGUAUUUUCUUACCUUAAUUUAUAUUUUUACAAUAUUUUUGCAGAAAAGGAGAAAAAUGGAAACUUGGAGAAAAAUAGCUUGAAAUGCUAGAAAACUGAUUUGGCCGAAGCGAUUUGACCAAAUCAAGCCUCAAAGAAUGCCAAAGGCAGCUACAAGAAGAGGAAGCUAACCUACAAGACUUGAUAUGCCUAUGUUGAUUUGCCCGGAUCGUUGGCCAAAUCACCUUAAGAAAAGUUGAAACUGAAACCCGGAGGAAACACGCAGAAAUGAUUUGGGCGAGGGAUUUGCUCAAAUCACUGUCUAAAUCAACGGUCCUCAGCAAGAAAAUACAGAAGCACGGAAAAGCAAAAAUCCAAAGAUUCAAACGUCUUAGAGUCCUAUCCUACUUCAAAUACACCAAGACCAAUCCUAUGACACCACAUAAACUGCACCAAAAGGAGUCCUACACCAAAUGAGAUCUAUUCAUGCUAGAAUAUAAGAUAAAGAAGAAAUAAAAAAAAGACCAUCAAAGACCAAGUCUAAAUAAGAUUCCAACUCCAAGAAGGAUUAAGACUUCUCACCUAUAAAAAAGGGCAGCAACCAACAGCAAAAAAAUAUCAGAAUUUUGGGCAGAAGCUUCGACAACACCUCUCGCUCUCAUUUUCUUCUUCUUUUUCUCUUUUAUGUGUUCUUUAUCCACCAUGAGUGGCUAAAAACUUUUAUCUCUAGUUGAAGUUGGAGAAAUUUCAGUUUGUUAUGAAUUGGGAGAUUUGAAACUCCAUUGUUAAAACUUUUAUUUUUCAAGAUUUAUGCAACUUGUUCUUCAUGUCUAUUAUUGCCUUGCUAUUAGAAUCAAUAAGGGCCCAUUGCUUUUAAUUAUAGGUAAUAUAUUGUUAGUUUAAAUAAUUUAGGUCUGUAAUUGCUUAGAUUAUUUGAACACAAGUAACAAUUGGUUGCAUGAUCUAACUUAACCACGCGGUUGACAUUAGAAUUAGGUUUCUCUAUUUUUUAAUGCAGUUAACAGUUGAAAAGUGAAAAACUCUAAAGACGUUCCUUGGCAAUUUGUUAACUAGUGUUUGAUUAACGAACAUUUCCUAAUCAAAUUAAAACUAAUGAGGAAUUUGGUUGUGGGAAGCGUCUUCCACAACCUAAACUAAUUUAUUAAUAUAAAUAGAAGUAUCCAAGCGUCAAUGAUCAAUUCUAAACUGAAAUGGAUCAUAUACUUCAAUUAGAGUCUUUUUAUUAUUGAUUUACCCAUCUUUUAAUUAUUGCUCUCUUUACUACUUUAGUAUUAAUCUUAGAUCAUCAUCAUAAAAAACAACCCCCUUUAUUUUAUUUUUGUUAGUUGAUUUGCCCCGGUCAUUGUUAGGAAAGUCUUUAGUGUCAAAUCUCUGUGUUUCGAUCCUAUUGCCACUAUCUACAGUUCUUUUUGGUGAUUAUUAAUAGAUUUAUUUUUUACGAUUUCGACAACCGCUAUCACUAGUGGUGAAAACUACUGUCCAUUUAGGCAAAAAACAUGUCUCACGACAAGGUUGUGAGACAUUUUGACCUCAUUUUUUUUUUCUAUUCAUUGCUCCUCAUGGCCUAUUUGUGAAUUUUGGUUGGCCAUGAGAAGUUUUGACUUUUGAUCUCCAAAAUGUUCAAAAUCUUCAAAAUAAACUCCAAUUCUACUUUAGAAAUAAAAAAAAUUAAUAAAAGUUAGAUAUUUUAAAAUUAAUAUCUACCAAAUAAAAAUUAUAUAAAAAAUAAGUAUAGAAUUGUAUUUAAAUGUGGUAAAAAUAAAUAUAAAAAUUUAUUAUAUUAAUAAGUGAAAUAUUAGUUAACUUAAAAUAUGUAUUUUUUUUAAUUUUAAUUGGAACCUAUCAUCCUAGGUUCUUCAGUUUUUGCAUUCAACUGAAUUUAUUUGCAUCUGGGUAUGGAUCUGAAAUUUGCUGUGGAUAAGAUAUAUAUACACACACACGUAUAAAUAUGGUUAACAAUGGAGAAGGAUAUUGUAGCAAUGGGAGAUUGAACUGGUAGCACAAUUAUUGGCUUUCAUUAAUACAAUUAGAACAUAUAUAGACUGAGAGAAAUCAUCACCUCAUUUAGGAAGUUUAAUUAAUGUUACAGAUUCUCUUUAUCAAUUAUAACAAAACCUGAACGAAUUAAAUAAACCAUUUGUUAUUAUGUAAAUUAAAGAAUGAAUAAUUAAAAAAUCACAAUCAUAUGAAUUAGGUUCACCUUCCAGAUCGUUGACUUUUGAAAAAGGGUUAAAAUACUAAUUAAAUUUGAAGGCCAUGAUUGUUCAUGGAUAGAGUCUUAGCAUAAGUGUAUCCAUUCAUACGUCUAAGUGGAAAUCACGUUAACCUUAUGCCUUAAUAAACAAUACACAACUUGUUAUUUUUGUAAGACUUUUAUAUUUUUAUUUUAUUUUCAUUGUUGGCCACUACACGAAAUUGAUUGGUCAAUUAUUGAGUUAAAGUUAGAAUAAAGAGAAACUCAUUGAGCUAAAGUUACCUACUGUCUUCCUUCAUCCUUCCUACUUACUCUCUAUCUCUGACCAUUCCCAUUCACACUCUAUAAGAACUGUAUUAUAUUUAUACUUGCAACAAACCUCUGGUCGUGGUUGCAUAAGUCUGCAAGUUCCGAUGGCCUCUCGCUUGGGGAUGAACGGGGCAGAUCGCCGGAUGGAAACUAGAGGUAUUACUUGUUUUUAGCUGAAACUGUUGUACCAAAUAGUAAUAGUUCAUGGAGAUUUCAUUUCAUCUAACUCAUUGGGGCAUGUUGUCUAUUGAUUGUCACUGAGCACAGAUCCAAAUGAAUCUGGCUCAUCUCCUGAGAAGAGACCAAGUCAUACAUCUGCAUCUGUCAAUUAUAAUGAUAUUGGGCCAAAGCCAUAUUCAUACAGUGAAUUAGCAAGGGUAACUGGUCAUUUCUCGCUUAAUAACCUAAUUGGUCGAGGUGGUUUUGGUCAUGUUUUUAAGGCAGUCUUAGAUGGUGAGAUUCGUGCUAUCAAGAAACUUGAUUUUCUGGAUGUACAAUCUGAAGGAAGUUUGGAGAGGGAGAUUAUGGUCAUCAAAAGCAUCAGCCACAGAAACCUCGUUGAACUGGUUGGUUACUGUAUUGAUGGAGCCAAUAGAUUGCUCAUCUUAAAGUAUUUUCCAAAUGGAUCCUUGAGAUUUAAAUUACAUGGUGAGUCCCAUAUCCUUUCUUUUACUUUUAUGUUCAUCUAACUAAUCAAUAUGACAUAAUUAAUCUUACAAAUUAUAAAUGGUAUUAUAGGAAGUGAUAAUGUUUUGGACUGGGAGACAAGAAUGAAGAUCGCCAUAGGUUCUGCAAGAGGGUUAGAAUAUUUACAUGAAAAUUGUGAGUAUAUACUACUACAUAUUCUUAUAUGGCAGGAUUUUAGCUUUUGAGUGUAAAUUUAUUUAUUUAUUUUUAUUUAUGUUGAUAAUUUAUUUUCUCUCAAAAUUUUAUAUUCUUUUUUUUAUAUUUUUUUCAGGUAAACCUAAGAUUAUACAUUUAGAUAUUAAACCAGAUAAUAUUCUUCUCGACGAAAAUUUUGAACCUAAGGUGAGUUAAUUUUAUAAUUAAUAAAUAUUUUAUUUAUAUUACUGUUCUCUAACAAAAAAAAUAUCAUUAAAUACCAAAAUUUUAUUUUUAAACAGUAUUGAAAAAUUAUGUGAACUCAUUAAUUAUAUAAUUUGAUUGUUGUAAUUAAUUAAUAAAUUUUGGUUCUAACUUUUUGGUUUGGCCAUAUAUCUUAUAAAAAAAUUAAUAAAUCAAUCUUAGUAGGUUUCUUAUCUUUUUUUUUUCAUGAUUUAAAGUUUUCUUAAUAAACCUUAUUGAAGUAGGGAAAAUAGUGUAAUUUAUCAAAUUAAAAAAGUAAUAAACUUAUUAAUCUUCUCAAAUCAUUUGUUUAGAUAACAGAUUUUGGACUUGCUCAAUUUUUUACGGACGGUGCUACUCACAUAUCCAAAUCGUCAGUUAUGGGAACCCAUGUGUAAGAUAUAAAUUUCUUUUUUAUCAUUUAAUUGCAUCGCUAUUAUUGUUUAACUCUUUCGUUGCCAUUAUUAUCUACUCUUAGACUAGUUUAAAAAUAAAAUAAAAUUUAAAACAGACCAAAAAAAACCCACGAAAAGAAAUUAGGACUUGAAGAUCUUAGUUCGUUAAAGAAAAUUUUAACAUGAUUUUUUUUAGAAAUUUAUAAUUUAGUACCUCAAUAUUGCAAUUAUUAACAAGUCAGUUCUCGUAUUUUCAGAAAUCUAUUAAAAUGUCUUUAUUUCUGCUGUUAAAAAUAUAUCAAAAAACCAAAUUAUCUCCCUUCUUUUCCUCUUCCUUCUUCUUCAUUAAUUCUUCCUCCUCUUCUUCUUCUUUGGUUCUUCUAUUUCUUCUUCUUCGAUUUUUUUUUAUUCUUAUUCUUUAAAGAGGAGGAGACGAUUCUUCUUCUUCUUCUUCUUCUUCAUCAUCAUCAUCUUCUUCUCCUUCUUUUUCUUCUUCUUCUUCUUCUUCUUCUUUUUCUUCUUCUUUUUCUUCUCCUUCAUCAUCAUCUUCUUCUUUUUUUAUUCUUCUUUGAGGAGGAGGAGGAGGAGGAGGGACUAUUUUAUUGACGGAAAGAAACGAUAAAGACGUUUUAAUGGAUAUGAGAAAAGAUAAGAACGUUUUAAUAGAUUUCUAAAAAUAUAGGGACUAACUUGUUAAUAAUAACAAUAUCCAAGAACUAAAUAAGGGGUUUUAUUUGAAAGCAAAAUUGUAUUUUAAAAGUUUUUUCUCUCAUUCUUUAUCUAUUUUUAAUGGAAAAGAGGACGGAAUGACUAUUUCGUUGACGGAAGAACUAUUUCGUUAACAGAGAAAAAAGAUAAAGAAGUUUUAAUAGGUUUCUAAAAAUACAGAGAUUGACUUAUUAAUAAUAACAAUACUCAAAGACUAAAUAAUAAAUCUCUCUUUUUUUUUGGUAAGUACCUUAAUAUGAAAUUUAAUUGUGAUGAUUUUACUGCAGUUAUGAAGAUCCAUUUACAACAAAAAUGGGAAAAUACUCAGACAAAUCUGAUAUUUAUUCUUUUGGUGUUACACUUUUAGAGUUGAUCACCGGAAGAAAACCCAUAUAUAAUGGAAUUGACAUUAUUACUUGGGUAUGACUCUAUUUGCAUUAAAGAUUUUAUUUUAAACAUUCAAUUGAAAAAAAAAUAAAACUUUUGAAUUUAGAUAUUCUAUUUAGAUUUGAGUCUAAUGCAUUUAUUAUCCAUUAAUAAAUAAUUUUUUAAACAUUCAAUUGAAAAAAAUAAAACUUUUGAAUUUAGAUAUUCUAUUUAGAUUUGAGUCUAAUGCAUUUAUUAUCCAUUAAUAAAUAAUUUUUUAAUCAAUGUCUUUUAGGCAAAUCCUUUAAUUGAGAACGCCAUAGAUGGAAGAUAUGUGAAUUUGGUAGAUUCCAAAUUACAAUCCUUCGACCAGGAAGAGAUGCAUAGAAUGAUUUCUUGUAUUAAUUCUUGUCUAAAUCAAUUACCAAACUCUCGUCCAACAAUGGAAAAGGUAAAAUUUAUUCAUACAAUUAACUUAAUUUUAAUAUAUUCAAAACUAUAUAUAUAUAUUACACAUUAUAUAUUUUCAAUUAAUUUUAUGAAAGCAUAUAUCUCGAAAGAUUACAUAGUUAACUUGUAAACAGAUACGAUUAGUUCUUGAAGGAAAAUUACCUCCAGAGAAAUUAUACAAACACAAAUUGCAAUGGAGUAUUACACAUGAAGGUACAUAUUCUUUUAUAUUAAUUUAUUAUAAAUUAUAUGUAUAUUUAUUCGAAAGUUUGAUCUAAUUGAUGUCUAAAUUUUGAUUUAAUUUGUGUCUUAUCUUAAUAUCAAGAAACAAAUGUUGAUUUUCAACUGUAAAAAUAUAAUUUUUUUUUUUAAUUUGAAAUUUAUAACAAAUUAGUUUUUAACCAAAUCUAAUAGCAUAUUAAUGAAAUAUAAUUUUAACAAUGAUGAAACAUUUACCUUAAAAUUCAUUCACAUAAUUUAAUUCUGGUACAUUUCAAAAUUCUCUCUAUUUUACGGACUAUUUUCAAUUAAUUUUGUGGAAACAUUGAGAGAAUACGUAAUCGACUAUUAAAUCUGAUUGGCUAUAAUUCCUUUAUUUAAAAAGAGGAAGGAAUGAUAUGAACUUAUUUCACCUUUAAAAAAAAUGUUUCUGCCUCAGAUUUUGCUUUUUUCCGUUAAUAAUUCUCCUUACAGAGCUGCACUAAUUUACCCUUUUUCUUUUUUUUGGCAAGCAGAUGAGCCUAAGCCAAGUCCCAAGCCUCCAAUCAUUCAAGGAACUAAUAAUAAUAGUACACGAAAUAUUCGACUUGCCAGGCGACGUCGACCAACAGAAGCAACUAGCAAUGGUUCCUCCAACAUCAUUCAAGAAACUUCAUUUGAUGAUGAGAUGAUAUAUGAAAAGCCCGUUUUGGACAGAGGAGAAAACUGUUGCAUUUCAUAAAACCUUAAACCUUUCUCUUUCUUAUUUUUUAUAGACCAGGUCCUCCUUAUCAUUUUAAGCCUCUCUUUUUUUUUUUUUUUAAAACCAUAACUUAUUACAUUUCUACACAUUCUCUCUAUUGGAUAUGACCUAACUUUAAAAAAUAGCCUCUUUUACUUAAGUCCAAUAUCAAAUUUGGAGUAUCAACAAUUCUUUUCAUUGAUAAAUCCGUUGGUGGAUAUAAGACGAAGCAACUAAUUUUAAAUUUUAUGACAUACUUGGAUUGGACCUAACUUUUAAUCGACGUCGGAUGGAGACCCACGAUAGCUUUUUAGAAAAGGAAUUUCGAAACGCAUGACUUUUAAAAGUGUGAUUAGGGUAACAGGCCUGGUCACAAAAUUCAAGUGGUCAAUUUUUCAUUUUAAUUAUUUUUUUAAAUAUUUUUAUAAUUUUGCAUAUUAGAAUUUUUUCUAUUAUAAAUAGGUUUUGGCUAUUUGAGACUCACUUGUCACUUUUUUAAGAAUUUCGAUAAGACUUUUCCACUUUUAACCAUUCGUUUUUUUCAUAUCGUCUUAGUCAAACAAUAUUGAUAAAAAUUACAGACGGAGUUCUUUAUCAAAUAGUACCAUUCAUUUUUUAAAAGUCUGGUUGUUAAGAUUUUACCAACAAAUUUCAAAUUUGUUAGCGCUAUGUACUACUGAAUUUAUCAACAUAGAUUUCCAUAUCUUAUCUAAUUUGGGUUGUAGUCUAGAACUUUUCAUGUUGAGUUAUAAUAUGGUGCAUAAAUAAAGUAUACUUAAAAUUCAAGCCAUAUAAAUAACAUAAUUUAUGUUUAAUAUUUAUUAAAAAUAUAAAUAUAUUUAGAAAGAAAGUGUAGAUGAUAAAAUAAAGUAUGAAAAAUUAAAAAAAUGAGAGAAAGUAGAAAUAGUAGAAAAGUAAAUGGUAUAAAAUGAGAGAAAAUUAUUAAAAAGAAAAAGAAAAAGGAGAAAAAACUAAGAAAAUGAUUAAAAAGAAAAAUUAUGGAGAAUAGAAAAGAAUAAAAGAAGAGGGAAAAGAUAAUUAAAGAAGUGAGGGAAAAGGAAAUAAAUGAUUAGAGAAAAAAAAAUGAAUGAAGAGAAAAUAAUAGAAAAGAAAAAGAUAGAUAAAAAAAUAAUAGAAAAAACUAAAAUUAGAGAAAUUAAUAUGAAUAAGAAUUAUAUAAAAAUAAAAAAAUGAGACAUAAAAAAGGAAGAAAAAUAAUGAAAGAAAAGAAAAUGAAAAAAGUUAUAGAAAGAAAAAUUAUAGAGCAAAAUGAAGAAAAUAAGAACAGAUGAAGAGAAUAAGAGAAAAAAAAGGAUAAUAGAAGAAUGAGAAAUGAUAAAAAAAUAAUAAUAAUAAGAGAAAAAAGAUUAUGAGAUUAGAAAGUUAAAAUAAAAGAAAAUAAUAAAAAAUGAAAAAAAUGAAAAAAAAAAGGAAAAUGAAAAAAUAAAAAAUAAUAUAUGGAUGGAUGACAAAAGGAAAAGGAGAAGUGUUAAUAUUUAUAAAUCAAAUUAUUAAUGGAUUAUAAAUAUUUUAAAGAAAAUGUGUUUUUGAAGAGAAAGAAGGAGAAGCAUGCCUUUUUCCUUUUAUUCAAGAUGUAAUGAGUUUUUACAAGAGUAAGAUAAUCCCGAAACUUAGUUUUAGAGGAGCUUAUAUACUCCUCACGUGGAGCGUAACAGGUGCUCAGAUUGUAAAAGGACAAUUAUGCCCAUAAGACAGCAAAGAAUAAAACAAAACAAUAUAUAUCAACUAAACUAUGAUUAUCUUGCAUUCUCUUCACGCCUCCUGCAAGUUGGAACUGGGAUGGAGACCAGGGGCAACUUGGAACAAAGGUGGUGAUGCUGAUCAGAAGAUAAAGGCUUGGUGAGCAAGUCUGCAAGUUGAGCAGUGGUGGAAACAUGCGAAGGGUGAAUGAAGCCCCGCUGAAGCUGCUCACGGACAAUGUGGCAGUCAAUCGAAAUGUGUUUUGUACGUUCAUGAAACACCGGGUUAGCAGCGAUAUGCAAGGCAGCCUGAUUGUCACAGUGGAGAGGGAUUGGCAGCUGAGUAGGCACCUGCAAGUCUUGAAGAAUAUAAGAAAUCCACAAUAAUUCACAAAUAGUACUUGCCAUAGCACGAUAUUCCGCCUCAGCGAAUGAUUUUGAGACAGUGGGUUGUUUCUUGGUUUUCCAAGAAACCAAUGAGGAUCCAAAAAAAAUGCAGAAUCCAGUGAGAGAUUUGCGCGAAAAGGGGCAGGAGGCCCAAUCAGAAUCACAGUAAGCUGUGAGAGGCAUGGUGGCAGUAACAGGAAAGCAUAGCCCUUGAUGUAUAGUGCCUUUCAAGUAGCGAAGGACAUGCAUGGCAGCCUCCCAAUGAGGCUUGCGGGGUUGAUGCAUGAACUGGCUCAGAUGUUGGACAGCAUAACUGAGGUCAGGCCGUGUAAGAUUAACAUAUAGCAACCUCCCAAUUAGACGUCUGUAAGCAUGGGGUUCAGGAAGAAUAUCUCCUGUGUCCAGAGAGAGAUGCAGCCCUUUAGGCAAGGGAAAGGAGGCUGGUUUGCAUGAGUGCAUACCAGCAUCCCUCAAAAUGUCAGAAAUAUACUUGGUUUGGCUUAAAAGAGUAGCAGUAGAUGAUCUGGCCACUUCUAGGCCAAGAAAGUAUUUCAGAAACCCCAAGUCUUUAAUGGUGAACUUGGAAUGUAAAGCAUUUUUAACCUCAGUCAUAGCAACAGUAGAGGUACCAGUAAGAAGAAUGUCAUCCACAUAUAUUAACAAGGCCAAAAAAUAGUCAGUAGUGCAUUUAACAAACAGGCAGUAGUCAUGGGCAGAUUGGGUGAAACCUAGUGUCUGUAAAAAACUUGUAAACUCAAGAUUCUAUUGCCGAGAAGCCUGUUUAAGUCCAUAUAAGGACUUCUGGAGGAGGCAGACUUGCCCGGGCAGAGCUUUAUCAUAACCCUGUGGUGGAAGCAUAUAGACUUCCUCAUCUAAGGUGCCAUGUAAGAAAGCAUUGUUUAUGUCAAGUUGAAACACAGGCCAUUGUUUAUGAGUAGCAAGGGCUAUGAGAAUACGAACUGUAGCCAAUUUGGCAACAGGAGAAAACCGAUCUUUAUAAUCAAGACCUUCAAUUUGAUUGUAACCCUUGGCGACCAACCGGGCUUUGAAUCUAUCAAUGUCACCAUUUGGUUUACAUUUGACCUUAUAGACCCAUUUACAACCUAUGGCUUUCUUGCCUUUAGGAAGGGUUGUAAGGAUCCAGGUGUUAUUCUGUUCGAGGGCAUGCAAUUCAUGUUGCAUUGCAUUAACCCAAUCAGUAUUUUGCGAUGCCUGAAUGUAGGUGGCAGGUUCUGGAAUGUGAGAAAUGUUCAGGACAUAUGUUUGAUAUGAAGGUGAAAGGUGAAUGGUGGAAAUGGGAGGAUGGACAGUGGUGAUUGCCGUGGCAACAAAGUCAUCCAGCCACGCUGGUGGUUUAAUGGCUCUGGAAGACCUUCGGAGGCCAGAGAGAUCAGGAGAAGGCUGAGAAGGUGAGGAUAUAGAUGUGAUAGGCUCUGAAUCAGGUAUGGGAAUAGGCAGCACCACAGGGGGUUGCAGAGAUUGUGUGCUAAAGGGAAAAAUGUGUUCAUAGAACACAACAUCACGGCUAACAAAGAUAGCACCAGUAGCUAGAUCAUAGAGUUUGUAAGCUUUGUGAUUACUGGCAUAACUAAUAAAGGCUGCCUUAAUGGACUUGGUACCAAAUUUGUCUUUGUGAGUGUUUGUUUUGGUGGCAAAACAAAGGCAUCCAAAUUUUUUUAGAUGGAAAUAAUCAGGGGCUUUCCCAUAGAGACGCUCAUAAGGGCUCUGCCAACCAAAUUGGGCCAUAGGAAGUCUGUUUAUUAGAUAGGUGGCAGUAAGGACACAUUCAGACCAAAAAGUGUGUGGGACAUGAGAGUGUAUUUUGAGAGCUCUAGCCAUGUCUAAAAGAUGUCUGUGCUUUCUCUCAACCACUCCAUUUUGUUGAGGAGUGUGAGGACAAGAUCUUUGAUGUAUUAUGCCCUUUUGAUUUAAUAGUCUAGAGCAAUCAUUACUAAGAAAUUCACAUCCGUUAUUUGUCCUUAUUGUCUUGACAGAGGCAUUGAAGUGAGUUUGCACCAUAUUCAGAAAUGUAGAUAAGAUAUGAACAGUUUGACUUUUAAGGCGCAUUAAGAAGGUCCAGGUGGCCCUGGUAUUGUCAUCAACUAAAGUGAGAAAGUAUUUUGCUCCUGUGACACUUUCUAUGUUAUAAGGGCCCCAAAUAUCUAUGUGGAGGAGAUCAAAAGGUUCCUUAGCAACAGUGGUACUAAGGGAAAAGGGUAACCUGGCCUGCUUGGCUUGGGAACAGGUUUGGCACUGUAAAGGAGUACCCUUAGUGUGUUUAAGCACAUCAAUAUGUUUGAGUUUCCCAAGGGAUGCAUGCCCUAGUCUAUCAUGCCAAUCAACAAUAUUACUAGCAUACAUACAAGAUUCAGUUCGAGAAGAUUGGCUUUCUUUAUUUAUAGAAUGUGUAGAAAGCAUGGUAUUUANNNNNNNNNNNNNNNNNNNNNNNNNNNNNNNNNNNNNNNNNNNNNNNNNNNNNNNNNNNNNNNNNNNNNNNNNNNNNNNNNNNNNNNNNNNNNNNNNNNNNNNNNNNNNNNNNNNNNNNNNNNNNNNNNNNNNNNNNNNNNNNNNNNNNNNNNNNNNNNNNNNNNNNNNNNNNNNNNNNNNNNNNNNNNNNNNNNNNNNNNNNNNNNNNNNNNNNNNNNNNNNNNNNNNNNNNNNNNNNNNNNNNNNNNNNNNNNNNNNNNNNNNNNNNNNNNNNNNNNNNNNNNNNNNNNNNNNNNNNNNNNNNNNNNNNNNNNNNNNNNNNNNNNNNNNNNNNNNNNNNNNNNNNNNNNNNNNNNNNNNNNNNNNNNNNNNNNNNNNNNNNNNNNNNNNNNNNNNNNNNNNNNNNNNNNNNNNNNNNNNNNNNNNNNNNNNNNNNNNNNNNNNNNNNNNNNNNNNNNNNNNNNNNNNNNNNNNNNNNNNNNNNNNNNNNNNNNNNNNNNNNNNNNNNNNNNNNNNNNNNNNNNNNNNNNNNNNNNNNNNNNNNNNNNNNNNNNNNNNNNNNNNNNNNNNNNNNNNNNNNNNNNNNNNNNNNNNNNNNNNNNNNNNNNNNNNNNNNNNNNNNNNNNNNNNNNNNNNNNNNNNNNNNNNNNNNNNNNNNNNNNNNNNNNNNNNNNNNNNNNNNNNNNNNNNNNNNNNNNNNNNNNNNNNNNNNNNNNNNNNNNNNNNNNNNNNNNNNNNNNNNNNNNNNNNNNNNNNNNNNNNNNNNNNNNNNNNNNNNNNNNNNNNNNNNNNNNNNNNNNNNNNNNNNNNNNNNNNNNNNNNNNNNNNNNNNNNNNNNNNNNNNNNNNNNNNNNNNNNNNNNNNNNNNNNNNNNNNNNNNNNNNNNNNNNNNNNNNNNNNNNNNNNNNNNNNNNNNNNNNNNNNNNNNNNNNNNNNNNNNNNNNNNNNNNNNNNNNNNNNNNNNNNNNNNNNNNNNNNNNNNNNNNNNNNNNNNNNNNNNNNNNNNNNNNNNNNNNNNNNNNNNNNNNNNNNNNNNNNNNNNNNNNNNNNNNNNNNNNNNNNNNNNACAGGUGCAUGGAGGAAGGGUCUCCAUUGAUCCCAAUUCAUCCCAAAACCCUUUCAAUUUAGUGAAAUAGACAGAUGCAGAGGCAUUGUCUUGAGAUAUCAAGGAUAUUUUCCUACGCAACUCAUAGAUCAUGGUUCCAUUACACUCACCGAAUCUUUCGGUAAUUUCAAGCCAGAGAUCCCUAGGUGAGGCUGUGUAAAUGAAGCCAUCGACUAACUCUCUGGAUAUAGAAUUUAGAAUCCAGGAUGUGACCAUAAAGUCACAUCGCUUCCAUUGUUCAUAGGAAUCAGAUCCUUUAUCAGGUAUUGUAACGGUGCCUUCUAUAAAUUCCAGUUUCUGUUUGGCUCCUAGGGCUAUCCUAAUGGCUCUACACCAAGACCUAAAAUUUGUCCCUAUCAGAGGAGCAUAUACUAAAACCAUACCUGGAUGGUCCGAAGACUGGAGAGUCAGAGGAUCUCCAAGAUUCUGAGUUCCGAUCUGGAUUUUGUCCUUCGCCUCCGUGAUUUUGCCUUCUUUACUGGUAUUCCCUCGUUCUGCCAUGAUCGACAAGAUUUGUCCGUUUUAGCCACAGAUCGUGGUGUAAGUUUGUAGAUCUGACUGAGUUGAGGCCGUCUUGAAGGAAAACGGAAAGAUUAACGAGAUCUGCUUGUCAUGCAAGCCAGAUUCGGUGUAGGACUGGUGAUGGCGUUCACCUGGAGUGUAAGCCGGCUCUUUUCGGUAAAGGUUGUUUUAAAAAAGGAAUGGCGAGGAUGAACGGAAGAGACAGGGAAAGGUGCAAACCCUAAUCCGCUCUGAUACCAUGAAGAGAAAGAAGGAGAAGCAUGCCUUUAUCCUUUUAUUCAAGAUGUAAUGAGUUUUUACAAGAGUAAAAUAAUCCCGAAACUUAGUUUUAGAGGAGCUUAUAUACUCCUCACGUGGAGCGUAACAGGUGCUCAGAUUGUAAAAGGACAAUUAUGCCCAUAAGACAGCAAAGAAUAAAACAAAACAAUAUAUAUCAACUAAACUAUUAUUAUCUUGCAUUCUCUUCAUUAUCCUUUAAAAAUUAUUAAAAUAUUUAAAAUUUAUUAAUAAAUUUAUUGGUGAAUGAAAAAUAGUAGAUUUUAAAAAAGUAACACUCAAAUUUUAAGUAAGAUUAUAUUUAAAAUUCAUUAAUAAAUUUAUUGAUGAAUGAAAAACAGUACAUUUUAAAAAAGUAAUACUCAAAUUUUAAGAUUUAAUUUUAAAUUUAUUGAAAGAUAAAAAUACCUUUUCUAUUUAUUAAUUUAAUAAUAAGAAUUAUUAAUAAAUUUUAAAAUUUAUUGGUAAUCUAUUUACAAACUAUUAAUAGAUUUAAAUUUUAUUAAUAAUUUUAAUAGUUUGUUCGGAAGUAUCAAUAAAUUACUAACUGAUUAUUAAAUUUCUACCACAAUAAUUUUAUAAAUUUAUAAAAUUAUCAACAAAUUCUAAAAUCCAUUAUUUAAACUUUUACACAAAAAUAUGACGGAACUUAUUAUUGAAUUCCAAUAACUUAUUAGUAUAUUUCUACGCAUUCUCUUUAUUAAAUAAUGACCAAGCUAUUUAAAAAUGACCCUCAUAUUAUUGGCUAAUUAAUAAUUCAACCAUCUUCUGUGACAGCCUGCUGCUGUGUGGAGAUUACUUGCUCAAGUUUUCUUUUUUUAUUCAAUUAAUUUCAGUUUAAAUAAUUGAACUCAAAAAUAUUGUUGACUUUGGAAAAAGGGUUAAUAGUAUUUAAAUUCAAAGACCAUGAUUGCUCAUUGAUGGAGCCACUAGCGUAAGUAUAUGCAUUCAUAUCUCUUAGGUAGAAAACAAGCCAACCUUCUCUAUUGCCUUGAUAAACAAUAAACAACUUGUUAUUGUCAUUUGACUUUUUAUAUUUUAAUUUUUUUUAUAAAUAUAUGUUGCCCAUAUCACAAAAUUAAUUGGUCAAUUAUUGAAUUCGAAUAUCUCUUUAACCCUUAAGUUGGAUUUUAAUAUAAAGUAUAAAGAAAUCUUAAUUAUAUAAUUUACUAAUUGAAUAAUUGAGGUUUUUUCUUGAAAAAAUUGUAAGUUAGAAGUAAAACGCAUUUUAAAAGUCAUUCAUGAAUAUGCACACAAAAAUAUAUCAGUAGUGAGUGCCAUUUUAAAAAUUUAAUAAUUUGAAAAAAAAAAUAAAAAAAAAGGAAAUUAAGAGAGAUAAACGAAGUGGAAAAGCAAAAUUGAUAAACUUCACUUACAUCUUAAUUUUCAUCUAUUUAUAUUAUUUUUAAAUUGAAUUUUCUUUUUGAUUUUCCACUGAAAUAAAAGGAAUUAUAAAGUAUAUACCAAAACCUCAAUCUCAAUGAAGUAAUUAGGUUUAUUAAAAUUAUUUACUUUCUUAAAAGAUGAAAGGGUGGAAAGGAUAAGAAUAGCAUUUUUUAAUUAUAUAGUUAAAUUCAUUAAUCUUGAUUUUUAUAUAAAAAACUUAUUUGAUCACUUGAUUGAUGGAAAGAUAAAUAUUAAAUUACUAUUUUUUUAAAAAAAAACAUAACAUUAUCAAUAAAUAUAUAUAAUAGAUACACAUUUUUAUUAUUAUUCAUAGCUUAUCUAAUUCGUAAGAGUGACACUCAAGUAUUAAAGUCAAUUGUUAUUCUAAAAAAAAGUCAAUUAUUUAGAUGUCACAAUGAAAAUAUGACUAUUAUUUUUUGUUUAGAAUAGGAAACAACUCAAUAACAAUUAAAUUUAUAUCCAUUACACAAAAUGUCAUUGACUGGAGCUGGAGGCCACAUGCUGCACAUUCUACGUUCAACGUCAACGUUAUAAUUCUUUUUUUAAGAAAAACGAAGGUCUGAACGCUAAUGUUACCAGCUGUCCUUCCUUUAUCUUUCCUACAUCUCCUUCUCUAUCUCUGAUCUUUCACAUUCACACUUUAAUAUAAGAACUGUAUAUAUAUAUACUUGCAAGAAACCAUUGGUUGUGGUUGAAUAAGUCUGCAACUUCUGAUGGCUUCACCGUGGGGAGAUCGCCGGAAUGAAACUAGAGGUAUUAGUCGUUCUAGCUAAAACUGUUUAAUGAGUUCAAAUAGUAAUAUUGUUAUGGAACUUUCAUUUCAUAUAACUUAUUGAAGCAUGUUGUUUAUUGUAUGGUCACUAAGUACAGAUCCGAAUGAAUCUGACUCAUCUCCUGAGAAGAGUCCAAGUAAUGCAUAUGCAUCUGAUAAUUCUAAGGUUAUUGGGCCAAAAUCAUAUUCAUACAGUGAUUUAGCAAAGGCAACUCGUCAUUUUUCGCUGAAUUACCAAAUUGGUCAAGGUGGUUUUGGUCAAGUCUUUAAGACAUCCUUAAACGGUGAGACCUAUGCUAUCAAGAAACUCAAUAAUUUUGUAGAUGAACAGGCCGAAGGAAAGUUGGAGAACGAGAUUGAGGUCGUCAAUAGAGUCAGUCACAAAAAUCUUGUUAAGCUAGUUGGUUACUGCAUUGAUGGAGCCAACAGAUUGCUUAUUUUAGAGUAUUUUUCUAAUGGGUCCUUGAGAUCUAAAUUACAUGGUGAGUCCAAACCUUUAUUUUAUGUUCAUAUAACUAAUUAAUAUAACAUAAUUAAUCUUAUAAAUUACAAAUGGUACUGUAGGAAAGGAAAAUGUUUUGGACUGGAAAAAGAGAAUGAAAAUCGCCAUAGGUUCUGCAAAAGGAUUGCAAUAUUUACAUGAAGAUUGUGAGUAUAUAUUAAUAGCAUAGUAGGCUUUUUUGAGAAUGAAUUUUAUUUUUUUUUCCUUAUUUGUGCUAAUAAUUUAUUUCCUCUGAAAGUUUUGUUCUCCCUUUUUAUAUAUAUGUUUUUUUUUUUUUUUUCAGGUGAACCUAAAAUCAUACAUUUAGAUGUUAAGGCAGAUAAUAUUCUUCUUGAUGAUAACUUUGAAUCUAAGGUAUGAUAUAUAAUUUGAUAAUAAAUAAAAAUUUUAUUCUUAUCAUCAUAUAACUAUAGUGGAACCUUUACCAUUGAAUAUCAAAAUUUUUAUUUUUAAAUAAUAUUGAAAAAUAAUGUGAACCCAUUAAUUUGAUUGCAUAGGUUUCAGAUUUUGGACUUUCCCUAUUUUUUUCGGAUGCUGCUUCUCAUGUCUCAAGAUCAUCAAUUAGAGGAACCCAAAUGUAUGUAAGAUACAAAUUUCUUUCUAUCAUUUAAUAACUGUCUAUUGUUUUCAGUGCCAUCAUGAUAUCUACUCUUAGAGCUCCUUAAUUUAAAGAUAUUAUUUUCUUACAGGAAAUCUUAAUAUGAACAUUAAUUGUGAAGAUAUUAAGUUUAAUUGUAUGAUUGAAUUGCAGCUAUGCAGAUCCAUUGACAACACAAUUGGGAAAACACUCUGAUAAAUCUGAUGUUUAUUCUUUUGGUGUUACACUUUUGGAGUUGAUUAGUGGGAGAAAACCCAUAAAUCAAAACGGCGUCAAUAUUAUUACUUGGGUAUGAAUCUAUUAAAUUGUAACAAUUUAAUAUAAAAUUGUGUUUUUAGCUUUUGAUAUAAGAAUUGAUCUUUAAAAGAAUGGAUUCAACAAAUCACAAUUGGAUGUAUGGAGAUAAAAUAAUGAAACUUUCUUUCUAGCAACAUUUAAAAAAAACAAAGAAGACAAAAACAUAUGCUAUAUGUUAAAUAUAAAUUUACAGGCAACAUGUAUUUAUAUCCAUUAAUAAAUAAUUUUUAAUGGAUUUUUUGCAGGCAAACUCUUUAAUUGAAAAAGUUUUGAAAGGUGAAUAUGCGGAUUUUGUAGAUUCCAGGUUACAAUCCUUUGACCAUGAAGAAAUGCAUCGAAUUAUUUUUUGUGUUAAUGCUUGCAUAAAUCUACCUCCAAAAUUCCGUCCAUCAAUGAAAAGGGUAAAUUCUGUUUAUAUAAUUUAAUUUUGGUAUAUAUAUAAUACACGUUAUUUGCAAUAAAUUUUAUGGAAGCAUUUAGAGAUUACAAGUGUUGACUUGUAAAUCUUUUUAUCAUUGCUGUGCCAUGUAGGUAGUUCUAGCCCUUGAAGGAAUUCUGCCUCUAAAGAAUGACAACAAAUUGUACUCCAGAGCUUCAUAUGAAGGUCUGUUUUCUUGUAAAAAAUGGAAUAACUUUUGUAAGGUGUUAUUAAUUUUUUAGGAGACUUAUUAUUUAGUCUAUCAAAUAUAGUAAAAUUCGUUAGUUAGUCUCUUAAUUUUGAAAAACAUAUUAAAACGUUCAUAAGAUAAAAAAUCUACUAAUUAAUUUCUCCGUUAAUUUUAGUCAUUAAGCGUUAAAAAAAUCUAAAAUUAAGAACUAAUUAGUUUAAUUUUUAUAAAAUUAAGAGAUCAAUUAAAAAAUUUUAUUUAUAUUAUAGAAACUAAAUAGUAAAAACACUUAACGUCUAAAGUUAACAUAUAACUGAUUAGUGGUUUUUUUAAUAUUUCAGGGAUAUUUUAAUGAGUUCUUUAAAUUAGUGGAUUAACUAGUCAAUUUUAUUAAAUCUGAGGGACUAAAUAAUUAUUUUCUUUCUCUGUAUAUAUAAAUUAUAACUUGAUGAUAAAGUGAGAUCAUUUUAAUGUUAAAAAACCCUUAAUAUUAGAACAGAUUUUGAUUUUUAUUUAAAUCUGAUUGGCAUAUAAUUCCUUUAUUUAAAAGGAGAUGGAAUGAUAUGAACUUAAUUCAUUUUUUAAAAAAAUAAAAAGUAUCCACCUCAGUUCAUGUAUUUAAUAAUUUCUCCUUGUUGAGUUACACUAAUUUACCCUUCUUUUUCCGGAAGCAGAUGAGCCUAAGCCAAGCCCCAAGCCUCCGAUCAUUCCAGAAACUAAUAGAUCAUCAAAUGAAGUUUACAAACCAAGGAGAUUUACUUAUAAACAACUAAGUUCUGCAACUAAAGAUUUCUCCGAAAGCAACCUUCUUUACAGGGGUAUUAUGGGUGAAGUAUAUAUGGCAUCCCUAAAUGAUGUCGGACAAGUGAUAAUCAAGAAAUUUCAUCUCGAAAAAGAAGAUGAAUUCAAGAAGAUUAAAGGCAUCAGCAGUAGUGUUCAUCACGAAAAUCUUGUUAACCUGGUUGGAUACUGCAAUGAAAGAGAUAAUAAUCUGCUUGUUUAUGAGUGUUUUAGGUUUCGAUCCUCUUUAAGAUUUCGUUUACUCGGUAUGCUCUUUAUAAUUAAAUAACUUGCAAAUUCUACAUUUAUCAAAAACCUUAUUUUAUUAUUUUUUGGCCGGAUUUUUAACUAGAUGCGUAUAUAAUACAGGGACAAAAAUAAUGAGUACAUCAAUAAUGGAAUGGCCAACCAUCAAGGGCAUAGCUUUAAGCAUCGCAAAAGGAUUAGUACAUCUCCACGAAUUAUGUGAGUCUUAAACUGAACCAUUAUUUGUUUCUAGUUUUUUUUUUUUUUUUACAUUUUAUUUAUGAUGUCUGUAUUUCCAGAUAAACCUUUGAAUACCUACGAGCAUUACCUGGAUGAUUGCGUAUUUCUUGAUGAUAAUCUUGAACCAAAGGUAGUUAUGAUAAAUUUAAAUAUUUUCAAUGAUCAAUUAUUGAUAUAAAUCUUGGAGAUUAUAUUCUGUGUGUGAUCAAUUAUAUGUAAAAUUAUCAUUCAACAUGUAAUUAUAUCUUUUUUGUUGUAAUUAAAAAUACACUUCUUGUUUCUGUUCAAAAAAAAAAUACACAUCUUGGUUAACUUAGCAAAAAAUAAAAAGAAAGAAAGAAAGAAAGAAAAGCACACACUUUUUUUAAAAUAACAAACCAAAGGUAAAUUUUAUAAAUAUUAAUAUUUAAUUUAUAUGUGUAAUUAGUAAUAGAAAUAAUAAUUAAAAAAAUCAAUAUAGUUGAGUUUCAAGUUGAAUAUAUAUGGCCAUUAUUGGAUUGUGAAACUAUUGAAGUUUACUAAUUGUGUUUGAUGUUGAUCUAUAUGGUGCAAUAAAUUUAUUUGGUUCUUUUUUUUAUCAGUUUGCUGAGUAUGGACGUACCAAUUUUUUCUUAAAAGAUUCUGAAAUGCUUCUUUCUAGCAGGUAAAAAUGAUUAUUAUAUUUUGUUUCUUGAUUAGAUUAUUUGCAACUACAUGACUUAUAUUUGAUAUGUUAGGAAUUUUUUUUUGGCAUUUAAGGAAGAAAAACAUCUUAGCAUUCUUAUACUUUUAGUGAAGAUUUGUCGACAAUUAUUCUUAUAUUUUCUUUUAUCUUCUAUUGCAGUUCAACGACUUCUACAUAUCUUAAGUUUGAUGUGUAUUUUUUGGGUAUAAUUCUUCUGAAGCUUAUUACUGGGAAACAACAACAUAAUGACAUCAGUUCUAUUAAUGACUAUAACUUGAUCGAAUUGGUAUGUAUUUCUUCCCAUAGUCUAAAAUGCAAGUAGCAAAAUUCAAAAUAGAUCAAAUAAUUCAUUGUUGAUAUUAGCCAUAGUCUAAAAUGCAAGUAGCAAAAUUCAGAAUAGAUAAAAUAAUUCAUUGUUGAUAUUAGCAAUGAGGAUUUAGUGACAUGCUAACUCCAUUGCUGAAGUUAAUUUUAACUAGCAAUAUAUAAUUGUCAAAUUAAAAUAGUCACUGAAAAGCUUGUCAACAAUUUAAAAAUGGAUUAGCAAUGGAAUCGAUUGUGAAUCUACAUUAUUAGCGACAGAUCUAUCAAUCCAUCACUUGAAGUCUAUUUUUUAUUAUUUUGUAUUGUAUGUAUAUAUACAUUCUUUUAUAUGUCAAUGAUUUUUUUAAUGUAUUAAUUAUAAUUCAGAUGGCGAUUCACCUAAAAAAUAAUUGGCCCAAAAGUGACUAUAGUUUUGUCGAUCCAAGAAUUGAGAGUUAUGACAAACAUGAAAUGGAUCAAAUGAUUGAAUGUGCUAUAGCAUGUGUAAAUCCUUGUCCACAAUAUCGACCUCAAAUGAGUCAGGUAUGUAAUAAUUCUUUUAAAAAGGAUUGUAGAAAUGUGUAUAUGAAUAAAUAUUUACAAUUAAAACUAAAAAUCAGAAUUAAUUGAACUCAUUUCAGCCUAUUUAAUUUAACUGUUAGAAUAUAUUUAAUAGCAGAUAAUUUUUUGUAAUGAGUAGCUAACAAAUAAGUCGAGUUGAUAUAUCUUAGAUGUUUUAUAAAUUAUGUCUAAUUCAUAUGAUUAAUAUGUCACAUGAGUAAUUGGCAAAUAUCAAUUUAUUAUACUAUUGAAAUAAAUAUAAAAUUAUUAAUUUAUUAUACAAUAUAUAUAGUAAUUAAAAGCAUAAUUUUUCAAAAUAUAAUUGUUUUCAUGCAUAUACAUAAUUUUUUGUUCUAUAAUAAUUAAUAUUAUAAAUAUUUUAAUUGUUAUUUAUAAUAUUUUUAAUUUAUUUAUUAUCUCUUAUAAUUUUAAGUAAUUUAUUGAUAUAAAAAUUUAAUUUAAAAAUUAUUAUUAAGAAAAUUUUAAAAGAUAAUAUAUUCUAAAUAAAAAAUAAAAUUAAAAUAACUAUUAAGUAGUAAAAAACAAUUCUAAUAUUCGAGCUUAUGUGAACUACAACUAAUAAGUCUCAUAUAAACUACUAAUUGGUUUUUAAACAUUUAAAAAAUAUAUUAAUUAUAGUUAUAGCCAUUGCUGUAAACAAAUUCUGAACUAUGACUCAUCUUUAUUUAUUCCAUUUCUUAUGAAAAGCAGGUGGUCGAAGUUCUAGCAGGAAAUAUUCCUGCGAGAAAUCUCGAGAAGAAUUUUUUCUUUUUUCAUGAAAAAAAAGAAUGAAAGAUUUUUGGAUUCUGGGGAUGAAGUAUAUAUGUAUAUCUGCAGCAAAGCUAAAGAGUGUAAUAGUUAUCUUUUAUCAGAUAAUUUCAGAUUGGCAACUCAGUAUCAAAUUGAGAAAAUAAAAAUUAUUCCAUUAAUUGUAAGCAUAAAUAACUUUGUAUAAUUUUUUUUUUUUUUUCUAAGCAUACUUUGUAUCAAUUUACUAUUUAAAUAAAAAGUAAUAUUUCAUAUAUAUUGUUAAUUCUAUUAAUUAUAAUAAAACCUUAAUGACUUAAAUAAACCUCUUGUUAGUAUCUAAAUUAAGGAAUGAAUGAAAAUCAUCACCAUAUGAUGAAUUAGAUUCCACCUUGCUUAAAUUCAAAGGCCAUGAUUGUUCAUUGAUAGAGUCAAUAGCGUAAGUGUAUUCAUUCAUAUUUUUAAGUGGAAAUCAAGCUAACCUUCUCGAUUGCCUUAAUAAACAAUAAACAACUUCUUACUUUUAUAAGAUUUUUAUAUUUUAAAUUUUUUUUAUUUUUAUAAUUUUAUGUUGCCCACAAUACAAAAUUAAUUAGUCAAUUAUUGAAUUCGAAUAUAUCUGUAUUCUAACCCUUGAGUUGGACUUUAAUAUAAAGUAUAGAGAUAUUAAUUAUAUUAAUAAUAAAAUAUUAAUAAUAUCUCCAUCAUUGAGGUGUUUUUCUUAAAAAAAAAUGUUAGGUGUAAAAUCCAUCAGAUGAAUACACAUUAAAAUGUAUAAAUAUCAAGUGCCUUCAUAAAAAAUUAAUAAUUUGAAAAAGAAAAGAGAAAAAAGAAUAAUUAAGAGAGAUAAAUGAAGUGGAGCAAAAUUGAUAAACUUAAUUUUCAUCUAUUUAUAUUAUUUUUUCCCUGCAAAAUAUCGAGCUGGAGGCCACAUGCUGCGCAUUCUACGCUCAUCGUCAACGUUAAUUUUCUUUUUUUUAAGGAAAAUGAAGGUCUGAAUGGGCACAUCUCCCUCUCCAUCUCUGACCAUUCGCAUUCACACUUAAUAAGCACUGUAUUUUAUAUAUAUAUACUUGCAACAAACCUCUGACUGUGGUUGGGCAAGUUGAUCUGCGACUUCCGAUGGCCUCUCGCUGGGGGAUGAACAGGGCAGAUAGCCAGAGUGAAACUAGAGGUAUUAAUUUUUUUUUAGCUGCAACUGAGUAACGAGUUCAAUAGUAAUAGUUUCAUGGAACUUUCGUUUCAUUAAACUAUUUGAGGCAUGUUGUUUAUUGAUUGUCACUGCGCACAGAUCGGAAUGAAUCUGGCUCAUCUCCUGAGAAGAGUCGAAGUUAUGCAUCUAACAAUUAUAAGGGUAUUGGGCCAAAGUCAUAUUCAUACAGUGAACUAGCAAAGGCAACUGGUCUUUUCUCGCUCAAUAACCAACUUGGUCAAGGUGGUUUUGGUCAAGUUUUUAAGGCAAUCUUAGAUGGUAAGAUCCGUGCUAUCAAGAAACUUAAUAAUUUUCCAGAUAUACAGUCUGAAGGAGAUUUGGAGAGGGAGAUUAUGGUCGUCAAUAGAGUCAGUCACAAAAAUCUUGUUAAGCUGGUUGGUUACUGCAUUGAUGGAGCCAACAGAUUACUGAUAUUGAAGUAUUUUCCCAAUAAGUCCUUGAAAUAUACAUUACAUAGUGAGUCCCAUGCACAUUCUUUCUUUUGCCCAUGUUCAUGUAUAAUUAAUAUUUCGUAAUUAAUCUUACAAAUUACAAAUCAUUUUGUAGGAAAGGAGAAUGUUUUAGAUUGGAAAAAAAGAAUGAAUAUUGCAAUAGGUUCUGCAAGAGGAUUGGAAUAUUUACAUGAACACUGUGAGUAUAUAAUAGAGAACAUAUUUUUGCUUGUUAGGCUUUUAAAUUUUGGGAGUGAGUUUUUAUUAAACCUUGUUUAUUUCUUCUAACAGUUCUGUGUUUUCUUUAUAUUAUUUUCAGGUAAACCUAAAAUUAUACAUUUAGAUAUCAAACCUGAUAAUAUUCUUCUUGAUAAUGAUUUUGAACCUAAGGUAAGAUAGUUUGAUAAUAAAUAUAAAUUUUAUUUAUAUCAUCGUAGAUGUAUGCUGAAAUUUUGAUCAUUUUAUUCCAAAAUUUUAUUUUUGAAAAAUUAUAUCAACCCAUUAAUUUGAUUGUUGUAAUUAAUUAAUAAUGAACCUUAAUAAGGCUUCUUAUCUUCUUUUCAUGCUCUACUACUUUCUUAAUAAACCUUAUUGGAGUACGGAAAAUAGUAUAAUUUUCCAAAUAAAAAAUAUAUAUAUUCGUGAAAUUAAAUGUGAAAAAUAAUUAUACCUUUUAAUUAAUAUUUAUAUUACAUAUGCAUGGCAUAAUAAAUUUACUAAUCUACUUAAAUCAUUUGUUUAGGUUUCAGAUUUUGGACUUGCCCUAUUCUUUAAGGAUGCUGCUACUCACGUAUCCAGAUCAUCAACUUUGGGAACUCAUAUGUACGUAAAAAAAAACUUUCUUUCUAUUAUUUAAUUACUUCACUAUUAUUGCCUUUUUUUUUCAAUGUCGUCGUUAUCUAAUCUUAAAAUAAUUUAAAAAAUUAAAUUAAAUUAAAAAAAAAAAAGAAAAAGUAAAAAAAGAAAUUAGGCUCUUAAUUUGAAGAUAUUAGUUUUUUAAAGAAAAUCUUAACACAAAUUUUAAUUGUAAUUGUAAUGAUUUAUUAACACAAAUUUUAAUUGUAAUUGUAAUGAUUUAAUUACAGUUAUGCAGACCCAUUAUCAACGAAAUUGGAAAAAUAUUCUGAUAAAUCCGAUGUUUAUUCUUUUGGUGUUACGUUGUUGGAGCUUAUUACUGGACAAAAUUCUAUUAUUGAUGCAAGCACCGACAUCGUUACUUGGGUAUGACUCUUUAUUAUUAAUAGUUUAAUAUAAAAAUUACAAUAUAAAAAUUGUGAUAUAAAAAUCAAUCUAAAAGAAGAAUUGAAUUCAAAUCUCAGUUGGAUGUAUUUAAUAAUGAAUCAUUCUCUAUAGCCACAUGAAAAAAAUAGAAAAGGACAACCCAUAUGCUAUAAGUUAAAUACAAAUGUACAUGCAACAUACAUUUAUGAUCCAUUAAUAAAUAACUCAUUAAUGAUAUUGUAGGCAAAACCUCUAAUACAAAAGGCUUUGGAGGGAGAAUAUGCAGAUUUUGUAGAUUCAAGAUUGCAAUCUUUUGACCACGAACAAAUGCAUAGAAUGAUUUUUUGUGCUAAUGCUUGCAUAAAUCAACCGCUAAAAUAUCGUCCAUCAAUGAAAAUGGUAAAAUUUAUUUUUAUAAUUUAAUUUUGAUAUAUUUCAAAACUUUGUCUAUAUAUAUAUAUAUAUAUAUAUAUAUAUAGAUUACAUAAUAUAUUCAAUUGAGUUUGCAGAAGCGUUGAGAGAUCACAUUGUUGACUUAUAAAUCUUUUUAUCAUUGAUAUGCCAUGUAGAUACUUUUAGCUCUUGAAGAAAUUUUGCCUCUAGGAAAUCUGUGCGAUGAGAAGAACAACAACAAAUUGCAAUUGAAAGCUACUUACAAAGGUAAAUUUCUUAUAAAAAAUAAAAAAUAUCUAUUUCGAAAUGUUAUUCAUUUUUUUUAUGGAUAAAAUAUAACUUAAUGAUAAAGUGGAAUCAUCUUAAUGUUAAAAAACUGAACAAAUUUUAAUUUAUUUAAAUGACAUAUAAUCCUUUAUUUAAAAGGAGGAAGGGAUGACAUGAACUGAACUAAUUCACCUUUUUGUAAAAAAAAAGUAUCCACCUCUGUUCAUGUACUUGAUCCUUUUUUCCUUUAAUAAUUUAUCCUUAUAGAGCUGCACUAGUUUACCAUUUUGUUUUCUGAAGCAGAUGAGCUUAAGCCAAGCCUCAAGCCUCCUAUCAAUCAAGAAACUAAUAAGCCAAGCUCCAAGCCUCCUGUCAUUCAAGAAACUAAUCAAAUCGUUGUACGGAAGGGUCGAAGCACCAGUCGGCAGCCAAGAGAAGCAACUAGUAAUAGUUCCUCCAACAGCAUUCGAGAAACUUCAUUUGAUGAGAGAAACCAAGUUUACAAACCAAGGAGAUUUACUUAUCAUCAACUAAGAUCUGCGACUCAAGGUUUCGCUGAAAACAACCUUCUCAACGGGGGUCUUUUGGGUGAAGUUUAUAAGGGUAUCCUAAAUUAUGAUGAAUGGGUGAUGGUAAAGAAAUUCUAUAUAUACAUGCAUGGAGGGAAAGAAGAUGAAUUCAAGAAGAUUAAAGACAUCAGCACCAGUGUCCACAAUAAACAUCUUGUUAACCUAAUUGGAUACUGUGAUGAAGGAGACAAUAGAUUGCUCGUUUACGAGUAUUUUCCAGAUAAGUCCUCCUUGAGAUCUCAUUUAGAAGGUAUGCACUUUUAUCUUAAGCAACUCUUGUCUAUAUUUUAUUUUUUUAUAAUAUUUACUUCUAAACCAAUCAGAUAUUUAUUUUCCCAACAGAUAAUAUGGCAGGGAAAUACCGUUUGGAUUGGCCAACCAGAAUGGCGAUCGCUUUACGCAUCGCAUUAGGAUUGGUACAUCUGCAUGAUCGAUGUGAGUCUUCCCUUGUAUGCUUAGGCCUUGGCUAUAUCAAAGCAUGAUUUUCCCAGAUAUUUCUCACUUAAUGUUUGUGAUCUCUAUAUUUUUCAGACAAGCCCUGGAAUAUAUACGAGCAUUAUAAGGAUAAUAGCAUCUUUCUUGAUGAAAUUCUUCAACCAAAGGUGAUUAUAUAUAUGGCAGAUUUAAACAUUUUCGAAUGAUCAAUUAGUGGUAAUAUUUCUCAUAUUGGACAUUGAUGAUCUGAGAUCCAGAAAAUAGGGUUUUUUACAAUGGGUUUGUGAAUCUUAGCUAAGAAGAAAAUCCCCCAAGGAGAGAAUGUUUCUUCUAUUUAUCUGUUUCCAUUGCCUAUCCGUGACGUGUAACGGCCCAACUUCCAUUGGGCCACCUGUCUCUGCCAUACUGAUACGAUCGUACAAGGAUAUCAGAUUCCUGCCCCAUGCAUAACAGCCUCUGAUUUCCUCUGGGCGCGCAUAUGGAUGGACCCACAAGACAGACGGGUCGAUCCACUUCCUGAUUCUGAGUUGGAUCCGAAGAUUGGAUUAAAACUGAGCCCAAGCCGGAUCUGUCUAAUGGGCCGUGGGGAUUGGGUCGACCUGUUUGAGGAAGAUAGCUGGAUCUCGGUCUUAAAGCUGAGUGGACCGGACCUGGUUCAUGUGGGAGACUUGAAGGCCUCCAGAUAAUGGGCUGUUGUCAUGGGUCCGGCCCCAAACCGUGAUGGCGAAAACCAGCGGUCAUCAAUUGCCCCUUUACCUCCUCGUCAAUUAUUGCCCGACUGAAGAGGGAGUAAAUACCGAGAGUCAUCAUGACCGCGCCACCCAAGGACAAAACUAUUCAAAACAUCUUUUCGGCUCUUUAUUGUUUCAAAUUUCAUUUCCCGUCAAUCUCCCCAGAACGUUGGCUCUUCUCUGUUCUACUGCUCUCUUUGCUUUCCUCUGCUCAUUUGCCCUAAUCACUUUUCAGGUACGCCUCUUCUUUUACUAUGGAUAGUUCUAGUCUCCCCGAUGUCGUCGACCAGGAGUCUAGCAUCACCCAGUCUAACAUUAGGAGUUUCAUCUCUAGGAAAUACCUGGAUACCCCUCUUUAUCACAUCCGGGCUCCUUACCCGAAUGAGAGAAUCGUUCUUCCUAAUCCUUCUCCCCCUGGCCUAAUCGACCCUCAAAGGGACGUCAGUCUAGUUUUCUUUAUCAAACAGAGGGAGUACGGUCUGUCCUUUCCCUUUUCUCCUUUCUUCAAAAAGGUCUUCCAGUAUUUCGUGAUCACCCCUCGAAUGCUAACCCCUAACUUCGUUCUUUUCAUGUCUUGCUUUGAAUCUGUGUGUUUGAGCUGGGGGUUUACACCCACGGUUCACCUGUUCGUCAGCUUCUUCAGGCUAGUCAAAGUGAGCCAGAAAUUUUAUUACUUUGCCCCUCGCGGAGGGUUGUCCAUUUUCACGGGUUAUAAAGACUCCAUCAAGGGCUGGGUAGAGGGGUUUCUGGUGGUGGAGUUGAAGAAGAAUACGGGGUUGGCUUGGGAGCUCGAUCUUGCCUGGGAGGAUGUCUCUCUAGGUUGCAACGACCUGCCCCAGUUGGACCUUACUGAGCAGGUCGGAUUCCUUCGACUGACUUCUGUGGAUAGGAAGUAUGCCAUCGAAAAGUGCUUGUUCGCAUCCAACCUUAGGGAUAUUAAGGACGCGGGUAUCUUAUUCUAUCUGCCUGUGUUAGUUUUUGCUUACGCGAUCUUUGGUGAGAACUGUUCUGAUUUGCUUUGAUUUUUAAUUUUGUAGCCUCUGAGGUGAAAAUGGAUCGGAUUAAGCCUCCCAAGAAUCUCAUACUGUCCCGGGAGAGCAUGGACACUGCUCUGGAUGCCCUCCUGGCUGGGCAAUCCAUAAGGGAGGCUACUCAAAGGGUGGCCGAGGUUAUUUCUUCCAGAUCGGGUACCCGACCUCCUCCUCCUUCGGUCUCCUCACAAGCUCCUAGGCCAAACUCCCGACGUAGUAAGUCGUCUCGGCCCUCUAGUCGCAGCAAACCGAACUCGACUCACCAGUCCUUUCAAGCCCCCCGACCUCAACACUCUUCUACUGAGAGGGCAGAAGAGACUCCAAGAAUUAUUUCUGAAGUGGCUGAGAAAGCCAGGCUGACGAGGACGGAUCCCGCCCUUCCUCCUGUGGACGCUUCUGAUGUGGGGCUUGAAGUUCCCGCUGUUAUUGAGGAGGAGGUCUCCAAGGUGGGGUUCGAGGCCCCCAUUACUGAAGAGGAAGCUCCAGGGAAAAGUAAGGAGGUUAUUCUUAUAGACGAAGAUGUCCAGGAGGCCCUUACCGGAGAUGUUGGAUCCGGCCCUGCUAAUGACGGAGGAGUCACAGAGAAGGCUGGGGACAAGCGUCCUGCCUCUCCCGAAAUGUCUGCCCCAGCUCCUGCUCGGAAGAAAUCCAGGGUUUCCAAGGGAUCAGCUCCAGCUCUCUCUCCUAUUGGAAAGAGAAAGGAAGCUUCCAAGGGAUUAGCUCCCGCUCUCCCCCCUCUCGAAAAGAAGAAGGAUGUUCUUGUGAUACCCCUGUUGUCUGCUCUUGACAACGACAUUUUGAACGCUGAGAACAUAACUCAUCAAACUCCAGCGAGUGUCGUAACGGAGAUCUUACGGGAGCGAAUGUUCGGGGGAAUCACAGAGGCUUCAGACUCUCGUCUACUUGCUUUGACCGGCCAUUUGGCUGGCUUCACACGGGAGUAGACAGCCUUCCGGUCUCUACCUCGAGGGGAGCUUGGAGAUAGGAUUAGGGAGAUGCUUCUGAUGGUAAGUUGUUCGUUCCAAUUUCUGCUCGUAUUCCAAUUUUCUUUGUUUCUUUGUUCUGACAGCUUUCUCUUUUUGUACUAGGUGAUGGGCCUCUUCAUGGUGGUGGACGCUCGUGACCUCUCUCUCUUAGAAUCUGUUGAUCGUCGGAUCGAGGAGGCGCGUCUGGAGGAGAACCUGUCUGCAACCAGUGAUGCCAGGAGCAACCUUGCGGCAGCUCGAGAGCAUGCUAGGUCCCUAGAGGCGGAGUUGUCUCACGCUCGAAGGGUUCUUAAAGAGUCUAACGAUAGGGCAGCUGCUGUUGAAGUCCGCUGUGAAGAAGUCCUGAAGCAGCUGUCCUCUACGGUAGAUGCCCUUCGUGAAAAGGACGAGGCUUUAAAUCAAAGGGACGAGGCCCAGCGUCAGUAUGAGGCCUUGAAGGCUGAUUUCGAGGGAGUCCGGGCACGUCUUAUCAAGGUGGAAGUCCAGAAGGAGGGGGCACUAGCUCGGGUCGAGGUUCUUGAGCAGGAGUUGAGUAAGAGUUCAGAUCGCAUCAGAGAUUUGGCCUCGGCGGCAGAGGAAUCUAAACUUCUCAAUCAAAAACUCUGUCAUGAGGUCGAGACUAUGGAGCAUAGAUGUUCAGCCCUGCUCAAGGAUGUCAGACUCGUUGAAGACAGGGUCCAGCUAGAGUGUGAGAGGCGUCUGAUGGAGUAUAAAGAGUCUCCCGAGCUGAAAAAAGAGAUCGAUCAGGCCUGUGAAGCGCGCCUCCAGGAUUAUAAAAGUUCUUCUGAAUUUAAAGUCAAGAUAGCUGAGGCCUGUGAGAAGCGACUUGCGGAGUUCCAAGGCUCUGAUGAAAUGAAAACUGCCAUAUGGAAUAGGGGCUUCCGCAUGUUCAUCUCUGGGUAUAAUAGAGGUCUGAGGACAGCCAGAUACGCUCUCUCUACCCCGUUGGCUGAACUCCGAGCUGUAGAGGAAGACUCUGAUGGCGAGGAGGUGCUUUAUGGGGAGGAUGACAGGCCUUUGCCCAAAGGGGCUCCUCGCACUGCAGCUGGGCCUUCUGAGGUAGGCGCCGAGCUGGGAGAUGGAGAUGCUGGGCCUCAAGGGGAAGAGAUUGUGCCUUUUGUGGGUACUGAAGAGUCUAAGCCAGAAGGUGCUGGGCCUCCCAUAGACAGUAAUGUAAAUGUAGAUAGUACAGGGGGUAAUGUAGAUGAUAAUGCCCCCAGACAUGUAAGUCCUUUAAGGACUGUUUUUCCUUCAGUAGAGUAGACUGUAAAGUAGGUUGUAAUUACUUUUAUUUUUAAUGAAAUUUAAUUUUCGAGUUGUGUUGGCGUUUUGAGUUAUUUUGAUUGUUACUUAUUUCUCUAGCUUUAUUUGUACUUGAGUUGUUCUUACCUCGGCUUGUUCUUCCCUCCUCACCGGGCUACUUGUUCUGCUUAAACAGUCUGACUUGUUUAUUUUUAGAGAUUUGAGAAUAGAACACUUAGGCAGUGUCUAACAAAUCUUGUAAGGAAUUGACUACAUUGCCUUCCCUUUCUCGCCCCUCAAUUAAUCAGGGCUGAAAACUUAGCAAGAGACUUAGUCUCUGACUUAUAAUCUUUUUUAAUUUCACAAAGGCGUUCUCAUCUGUAAAUUUUCUCCGAGCUGGAUUUGCCUUAAGGCUAAGAUCUUCAAGCUGUACUUUUUUAUGGAUUUAGGUCUUCACUAUGAGCUUGGUUUUUAACAGCUGACUUAAUAUCGUCAACUUUCUUUCCCUUAUUGUAUAUGUACGAGCUCGGGCGUGUAGCCCUUAUACGACUGAAGUAAAAAGGAUUAUGUACCUCUUUCGAGCAGGGUUGAUCUUCUUCUUUUCAGUUCUGUUUCUUAUCUGCUCACGCCGUUGAACUUCCUUUCAGCUCAUGAGAGGUUUGUUAUCUUCAUUUUAUUCUUUGAGUUUUCUGAGCUUGGUUCUUCUUCGUUGCUUGGUUUUUCGAGUUCGCGCUUCCAGGUCGGCACUUUUGGCCUUUUGUUGUCUUUCUUUUUAAUUUUAGUUUUCGAGUAUGUCUCUGCCGGGCCCUUUGCUGCUUGGGUCUUCUCCUAGACUAGUCGAACUGGUUCAGUGCUAGUCAUCAAGUUUUGAGGUCGGAAUCUUACCAGCCUGUAAUAUGAGUUUGGACGGGUAUUGUGAGAGUGAAACUCUGGUGAUGAAAAGAUCUCCUUCGUUCCCACAGACGGCGCCACUUGAUGAUCUGAGAUCCAGAAAAUAGGGUUUUUUACAAUGGGUCUGUGAAUCUUAGCUAAGAAGAAGUACCCCAAGGUGAGAAUGUUUCUUCUAUUUAUCUGUUUCCAUUGCCUGUCCGUGACGUGUAACGGCCCAGCUUUCAUUGGGCCACCUGUCUCUGCCAUACUGAUACAAUCGUACGAGGAUAUCAGAUUCCUGCCCCAUGCAUAAUGGCCUCUGAUUUCCUCCGGGCGCGCAUGGAGAUGGACCCACAAGACAGACGGGUCGAUCCACUUCCUGAUUCUGAGUUGGAUCCGAAGAUUGGAUUAAAACUGAGCCCAAGCCAGAUCUGUCUAAUGGGCCGUGGGGAUUGGGUCGACCUGUUUGAGGAAGAUAGCUGGAUCUCACUCUUAAAACUGAGCGGACCGGACCUGGUUCAUGUGGGAGACUUGAAGGCCUCCAGAUAAUGGGCUGUUGUCAUGGGUCCGGCCCCAAACCGUGGUGGCAAAAACCAGCGGUCAUCACACAUUAUUAUGUAAAAAAUUUCUUAAGCUUAUUAUUCAAUAUAUGCAACUAUACUUAACUGUAAAUAUAUGGUGCAAUAAAUUUACUUUGAUUAUCAUUUUAAUCAGUUUGCAGAGUAUGAACGUGACAAAUUUUUCUUAAAAGAUUCUGGAAAUUCUAUUACUAGCAGGUAAAGAUGAAACUUUUGUUUAUGUUUCCUCUUCGUCACAUUGCUUGCUCAAGCUUAUAGAUACAUGAUCAAUUCUCCAACUGCAGUUCUAUGUCUUCAAGAUAUGUAAAGCUAGAUGUUUAUUUCUUCGGUGUAAUUCUUUUGGAGAUAAUUACUGGGAAAUUACCUGUUAGUGAUAUUAGUUCCUAUGAUUCCUUCAACUUAAUUGAAUGGGUACGUAUUAUUUUUCUGUUUUAAUACAAAUGAAAAGAGCUUCUUGAUUUGAGUAUGUAAGGGUUUAUUUAUUUAUUAUUCUUAACGUUCAGGCUGUUCCUGCAAUUCAAAAUGAUUGGCCCAAAGGCAACUAUAAGUUUGUUGAUGAAAAAUUGGGGAGAAACUUUGACGAGGAUGAAAUGGAUCGAAUGAUAGAAUGUGCUUUAGCAUGUGUAGAGCGUUAUCCACAAAAUCGACCAGAAAUGAGUAAGGUAAUUUCAUAAAGCUUCAUAUUCUAUUUUAUAUUAUGCACAUACAUUUGAGUUUUAAAUAAUUAAGCAUUAACAGUAUUUUUAUUAUGAUUAUAAAAUUAUUAGUUUAGUACUGUUAAAGAUAAUAAUUUAAAACUGUCAUAAAGAAAAUUCAUUAAAUAUUUAAUAAAAUUAUAAUUUUAGCUGCGUUUUUUAUUCAUUGUGAAAAAAUAAUUAAACCGUUACUUUAUUUUUAACAACAAAAGUAGAUGUAAUAAUCAUCAAUCUGUUAAUAUUAAUUUAUAGUUAUAAUUAAAAAUAUAAGAUAACAAUUUAUAGCUAUUGUUUUAAAUUUAUUUUUAUAGUAAUAAUUAUGAUAAACUAAUAACAUUCAUGUGUUGUAAUUAUACUCUAAUUUGGGGAAUAAAAAAAAACUUAAUUGCUAAAAGUUAAAUUUUGUAAGAAUUAUUAAUGAAGUUAAUCUAUUCCAUUUCUUGGCAGAUCCGGUACUUUUUUUUUUUCCCUUUCUCUAAUUACUUUUCUCGGCAAAGCAGGUUGUUGAAGUUCUAGCAGGAAACAUUCCUCGGAAAAAUCUCAAGAAUUGAGAUGAAAUGUUUGAAAAAGAAAAUUAUUUUUUUCCUUUUCAAUAGAAGUUGGAAACUUCCUUGAAAGGCCGAUUGGACAUUGAAAUAAAAAGAUAGACCUCAGUUGAAGUGGCAAAGGAGUGUAACUGGAAGACUUUCUGAAUUUUGCUUGUAUUGAUGUGUCUUGGAGACUA